RNAcentral lists this long non-coding RNA (661 nucleotides) under Pongo abelii (Sumatran orangutan). Its description in RNAcentral is "lincRNA". The record is from RNAcentral. Lineage: Eukaryota; Metazoa; Chordata; Mammalia; Primates; Hominidae.
CUGCUAGGGAAGGCAUCGAGCUUGAGGAAGAGGCCUCAUUCAUCUCCGUACCCCAGGCCCUAGUACACAGCAGCUCCAGGUGGGCACGCAUCUUUGUUGUGUUCUCUGCUGACUGUAUCCUCAGCACCUAGAACUGUCUGUCACCUAAUAGAUGCUCAAUAAACCUGCCAGUAAUUUCAGCAAAUGAAACGUGGAACACGUCAAGGCCAGAGGAUGGAAAAGGCUCCAGUUUUGAUAAAAGGAGGCCUGCUUGGCUUGGAAUCCUCUCUCCUGCUGGUUGGGAGAUGCAAAGAUGUUUCCAGAGAGGGGCUGAUGAAUUGAGGGGAAAGAAAUGAGCCCAGUAUGAGUCCCCUUUCAGGGCUGAGUGUGUAUAAAACCAAACAACUUGGAACCGCUCCAAGAGAGGGGAUUAAAGCAACAUGUUAUUCUGAGUGAUUGCUUAAUUUGUUGAGCUGUGGCUGGAUCUGUAAUGAAAUACAGCCCUUGUAACUGAUAACCUCCUGCUGCAAUUGAACUUCUACAAUUAAGGAAUAUUUUCUGAGUUUCUCUGGAACGGCUCUGAAUUUUUAGCCUCUGUGGUAGGGUGCUUCUGAACAUUUGUUUUCCAGGCAAUUUUUUUUCUUGAGUAUUAGGCUGAUGUUAAUAAGUAAGCAGCAUUUUA